RNAcentral lists this transfer RNA (72 nucleotides) under Gloeobacter violaceus SpSt-379. Its description in RNAcentral is "tRNA-Lys". It matches the Rfam family "tRNA". Rfam says of the family: Transfer RNA (tRNA) molecules are approximately 80 nucleotides in length. The record is from RNAcentral. Lineage: Bacteria; Bacillati; Cyanobacteriota; Cyanophyceae; Gloeobacterales; Gloeobacteraceae.
GGGUUCGUAGCUUAGCGGCAGAGCAGGCGGCUUUUAACCGCACGGUCCUCGGUUCGAUCCCGAGCGAACCCA